CGGGUGAGUAACGCGUGGGUAACCUGCCUCAUACAGGGGGAUAACAGUUAGAAAUGACUGCUAAUACCGCAUAAGACCACAGUACUGCAUGGUACAGUGGUAAAAACUCCGGUGGUAUGAGAUGGACCCGCGUCUGAUUAGGUAGUUGGUGAGGUAACGGCCCACCAAGCCGACGAUCAGUAGCCGACCUGAGAGGGUGACCGGCCACAUUGGGACUGAGACACGGCCCAG
RNAcentral lists this ribosomal RNA (231 nucleotides) under uncultured bacterium. RNAcentral's name for it is "partial 16S ribosomal RNA". It matches the Rfam family "Bacterial small subunit ribosomal RNA", at positions 103 to 334 of the family's 1533-position model. The record is from RNAcentral.